Molecule: ribosomal RNA, 481 nt
Filed under: uncultured Pseudomonadota bacterium
Lineage: Bacteria; Pseudomonadati; Pseudomonadota
Description: bacterial SSU rRNA
Rfam family: Bacterial small subunit ribosomal RNA
Source: RNAcentral
UGGGGAAUCUUGCGCAAUGGGCGAAAGCCUGACGCAGCCAUGCCGCGUGAAUGAUGAAGGUCUUAGGAUUGUAAAAUUCUUUCACCGGGGGACGAUAAUGACGGUACCCGGAGAAGAAGCCCCGGCUAACUUCGUGCCAGCAGCCGCGGUAAUACGAAGGGGGCUAGCGUUGCUCGGAAUUACUGGGCGUAAAGGGCGCGUAGGCGGACAUUUAAGUCAGGGGUGAAAUCCCAGAGCUCAACUCUGGAACUGCCUUUGAUACUGGGUGUCUUGAGUGUGAGAGAGGUAUGUGGAACUCCGAGUGUAGAGGUGAAAUUCGUAGAUAUUCGGAAGAACACCAGUGGCGAAGGCGACAUACUGGCUCAUUACUGACGCUGAGGCGCGAAAGCGUGGGGAGCAAACAGGAUUAGAUACCCUGGUAGUCCACGCCGUAAACGAUGAUUGCUAGUUGUCGGGCUGCAUGCAGUUCGGUGACGCAGCU